This 497-nucleotide ribosomal RNA is filed under the name uncultured bacterium. Its description in RNAcentral is "partial 16S ribosomal RNA". It matches the Rfam family "Bacterial small subunit ribosomal RNA", at positions 28 to 507 of the family's 1533-position model. The record is from RNAcentral.
GACGAACGCUGGCGGCGUGCCUAAUACAUGCAAGUCGAGCGCUGAAGCGAGGAGCUUGCUCUUCUUGGAUGAGUUGCGAACGGGUGAGUAACGCGUAGGUAACCUGCCUGGUAGCGGGGGAUAACUAUUGGAAACGAUAGCUAAUACCGCAUAAUAUUGAUUAUUGCAUGAUAAUUAAUUGAAAGAUGCAACUGCAUCACUACCAGAUGGAACUGCGUUGUAUUAGCUAGGUGGUGAGGUAACGGCUCACCCAAGCGACGAUACAUAGCCGACCUGAGAGGGUGAUCCGCCACACUGGGACUUAGGCACGGCCCCGACUCCUACGGGAAGGAGCAGGAGGGGAACCUCGGCAAUGGGGGGAACGCUUGACGGGCAACGCCGCGGGGGUGAAGAAGGGUUUCGGAUCGGAAAGCUCUGUUGAAAAGGAAGAACGGAUGUGAUAGUUGAAUGUGCACACUUUGACGGUAUCUUAUCAGAAAGGGACGGCUAACUACGUG